Molecule: ribosomal RNA, 301 nt
Filed under: uncultured bacterium
Lineage: Bacteria
Description: partial 16S ribosomal RNA
Rfam family: Bacterial small subunit ribosomal RNA
Source: RNAcentral
CAGCAGCCGCGGAAAUACGAAGGGGGCUAGCGUUGUUCGGAUUUACUGGGCGUAAAGCGCACGUAGGCGGACUUUUAAGUCAGGGGUGAAAUCCCGGGGCUCAACCCCGGAACUGCCUUUGAUACUGGAAGUCUUGAGUAUGGUAGAGGUGAGUGGAAUUCCGAGUGUAGAGGUGAAAUUCGUAGAUAUUCGGAGGAACACCAGUGGCGAAGGCGGCUCACUGGACCAUUACUGACGCUGAGGUGCGAAAGCGUGGGGAGCAAACAGGAUUAGAUACCCCCGUAGUCCCUGUCUCUUAUAC